UUGAACUGAAGAGUUUGAUCAUGGCUCAGAUUGAACGCUGGCGGCAGGCCUAACACAUGCAAGUCGAGCGGAUGAAGGGAGCUUGCUCCUGAAUUCAGCGGC
RNAcentral lists this ribosomal RNA (102 nucleotides) under Pseudomonas putida. RNAcentral describes it as "16S rRNA. Bacterial SSU". It matches the Rfam family "Bacterial small subunit ribosomal RNA", at positions 1 to 99 of the family's 1533-position model. Lineage: Bacteria; Pseudomonadati; Pseudomonadota; Gammaproteobacteria; Pseudomonadales; Pseudomonadaceae. The record is from RNAcentral.